AACGAACGCUGGCGGCAUGCCUAACACAUGCAAGUCGAACGAGACCUUCGGGUCUAGUGGCGCACGGGUGCGUAACGCGUGGGAACCUGCCCUUAGGUUCGGAAUAACUCCCCGAAAGGGGUGCUAAUACCAGAUAAUGUCUUCGGACCAAAGAUUUAUCGCCUUUGGAUGGGCCCGCGUUGGAUUAGCUAGUUGGUAGGGUAAAAGCCUACCAAGGCGACGAUCCAUAGCUGGUCUGAGAGGAUGAUCAGCCACACUGGGACUGAGACACGGCCCAGACUCCUAGGGGGGGCAGGAGGGGGGAAUAUUGGACAAGGGGCGAAAGCCUGAUCCAGCAAUGCCGGGUGAGUGAUGAAGGCCUUAGGGUUGUAAAGCUCUUUUACCCGGGAUGAUAAUGACAGUACCGGGAGAAAAAGCCCCGGCUAACCCCGU
RNAcentral lists this ribosomal RNA (432 nucleotides) under uncultured bacterium. RNAcentral describes it as "partial 16S ribosomal RNA". It matches the Rfam family "Bacterial small subunit ribosomal RNA", at positions 29 to 506 of the family's 1533-position model. The record is from RNAcentral.